AUCCAGCUGAUGAGUCCCUAACAGGAUGAAACGUUUGUCCUGGAU
Non-coding RNA from Schistosoma mansoni, 45 nucleotides. Lineage: Eukaryota; Metazoa; Platyhelminthes; Trematoda; Strigeidida; Schistosomatidae. The record is from Rfam.